UACAGAGGUCCCGAGCGUUGUUCGGAUUCACUGGGCGUAAAGGGUGCGUAGGUGGUGAGGUAAGUCGGAUGUGAAAUCUCCGAGCUCAACUCGGAAAUGGCAUUGGAAACUACCUUGCUCGAGGGUUGGAGGGGGGACUGGAAUGCUUGGUGUAGCAGUGAAAUGCGUAGAUAUCAAGCGGAACACCAGUGGCGAAGGCGGCUAUCUGGACGGUUUCUGACGCUAAGACGCGAAAGCGUGGGGAGCAAACAGG
Molecule: ribosomal RNA, 253 nt
Filed under: uncultured bacterium
Lineage: Bacteria
Description: partial 16S ribosomal RNA
Rfam family: Bacterial small subunit ribosomal RNA
Source: RNAcentral